CCUACGGGGGGCAGCAGUGGGGAAUAUUGCACAAUGGGGGAAACCCUGAUGCAGCGACGCCGCGUGAGUGAAGAAGUAUUUCGGUACGUAAAGCUCUAUCAGCAGGGAAGAAAAUGACGGUACCUGACUAAGAAGCCCCGGCUAACUACGUGCCAGCAGCCGCGGUAAUACGUAGGGGGCAAGCGUUAUCCGGAUUUACUGGGUGUAAAGGGAGCGUAGACGGCAGCGCAAGUCUGGAGUGAAAUCCCAUGGCUUAACCAUGGAACUGCUUUGGAAACUGUGCAGCUAGAGUGCAGGAGAGGUAAGCGGAAUUCCUAGUGUAGCGGUGAAAUGCGUAGAUAUUAGGAGGAACACCAGUGGCGAAGGCGGCUUACUGGACUGUAACUGACGUUGAGGCUCGAAAGCGUGAGGAGCAAACAGGAUUAGAUACCCCUGUAGUC
RNAcentral lists this ribosomal RNA (440 nucleotides) under uncultured bacterium. Its description in RNAcentral is "partial 16S ribosomal RNA". It matches the Rfam family "Bacterial small subunit ribosomal RNA", at positions 338 to 795 of the family's 1533-position model. The record is from RNAcentral.